GCUGAGUCACCGAAGACCACCACAGACAGAGAGAGAGAGAAGGUGCAGGCAUAUGCACUCAGCCAACAGAACGCUCAUGAUGGAUAUCUGAAUUCUGGGAACUACGUUGCCUGUUGCGCCAAGCCACUGACGCUAGGACUAUGCGCUAUAGAUGCACUGCAGAUGUUCCUCUCAGGUUGAAGAUGGGGUGGAAAAAUGCAAAUCACUUCCCACACUGUCAUUAUCUUCUUCCCUGUUGAUAUUAUUAAAG
Molecule: long non-coding RNA, 250 nt
Organism: Chelonia mydas (Green sea turtle)
Lineage: Eukaryota; Metazoa; Chordata; Testudines; Cheloniidae
Exons: 3
Source: RefSeq, a predicted model, not a curated record